This 599-nucleotide ribosomal RNA is filed under the name uncultured bacterium. RNAcentral's name for it is "bacterial SSU rRNA". The stretch from base 1 to 525 matches the Rfam family "Bacterial small subunit ribosomal RNA", at positions 338 to 873 of the family's 1533-position model. The record is from RNAcentral.
CCUACGGGAGGCAGCAGUGGGGAAUAUUGCGCAAUGGGCGAAAGCCUGACGCAGCGACGCAGCGUGAGGGACGAAGGCCUUCGGGUUGUAAACCUCUUUCAGCGGGGACGAAGCGAAAGUGACGGUACCCGCAGAAGAAGCACCGGCUAACUACGUGCCAGCAGCCGCGGUAAUACGUAGGGUGCAAGCAUUGUCCGGAUUUAUUGGGCGUAAAGAGCUCGUAGGCGGCUUGUCACGUCGGAUGUGAAAACUCGGGGCUCAACCCCGAGCCUGCAUUCGAUACGGGCUAGCUAGAGUGUUGCAGGGGAGACUGGAAUUCCUGGUGUAGCGGUGAAAUGCGCAGAUAUCAGGAGGAACACCGGUGGCGAAGGCGGGUCUCUGGGCAACUACUGACGCUGAGGAGCGAAAGCGUGGGGAGCGAACAGGAUUAGAUACCCUGGUAGUCCACGCCGUAAACGGUGGGCGCUAGGUGUGGGGAACCUUCCACGUUCUCUGUGCCGUAGCUAACGCAUUAAGCGCCCCGCCUUGGGGAGGUACGGCGCGAGACAACUACAAGAAGUAGACGCGNGAGAGNGCGACGACGACGACGAGGGAGGAGG